GACGGGGCCCGCACAAGCGGCGGAGCAUGCGGAUUAAUUCGAUGCAACGCGAAGAACCUUACCAAGGCUUGACAUACACCGGUAACGCCCAGAGAUGGGUGCCCCUUUGUGGUCGGUGGACAGGUGGUGCAUGGUUAUCGUCAGCUCGUGUCGUGAGAUGUUGGGUUAAGUCCCGCAACGAGCGCAACCCUCGUCCUAUGUUGCCAGCGGGUCAUGCCGGGGACUCAUGGGAGACUGCCGGGGUCAACUCGGAGGAAGGUGGGGAUGACGUCAAAUCGUCAUGCCCCUUAUGUCUUGGGCUUCACGCAUGCUACAAUGGCCGGUACAAAGGGCUGCGAUACCGCGAGGUGGAGCGAAUCCCAGAAAGCCGGUCUCAGUUCGGAUUGGGGUCUGCAACUCGACCCCAUGAAGUCGGAGUCGCUAGUAAUCGCAGAUCAGCAACGCUGCGGUGAAUACGUUCCCGGGCCUU
Molecule: ribosomal RNA, 469 nt
Filed under: uncultured Curtobacterium sp.
Lineage: Bacteria; Bacillati; Actinomycetota; Actinomycetes; Micrococcales; Microbacteriaceae
Description: bacterial SSU rRNA
Rfam family: Bacterial small subunit ribosomal RNA
Source: RNAcentral